RNAcentral lists this ribosomal RNA (240 nucleotides) under uncultured archaeon. Its description in RNAcentral is "partial 16S ribosomal RNA". It matches the Rfam family "Archaeal small subunit ribosomal RNA", at positions 260 to 500 of the family's 1478-position model. The record is from RNAcentral.
ACGACGGAUACGGGUUGUGAGAGCAAUAACCCGGAGAUGAUAUCUGAGACACGAUAUCAGGCCCUACGGGGCGCAGCAGGCGCGAAAACUUCGCAAUGUGCGAAAGCACGACGAGGGAAUCCCAAGUGCUGGCUCGUUAGAGUCAGCUGUUUUUAUGUCUAAAAAGCAUAGAGAGUAAGGGCUGGGUAAGACGGGUGCCAGCCGCCGCGGUAAUACCUGCAGCUCUAGUGGUGGCCGCUA